AGGAAUAUUGCACAAUGGGCGCAAGCCUGAUGCAGCAACGCCGCGUGAGGGACGAAGGCCUUCGGGUUGUAAACCUCUUUUCUGAGGGACGAGGAAGGACGGUACCUCAGGAAUAAGUCUCGGCUAACUACGUGCCAGCAGCCGCGGUAAAACGUAGGAGGCGAGCGUUAUCCGGAUUUACUGGGCGUAAAGCGCGCGCAGGUGGCUUCGUGAGUCGGACAUGAAAGCUCCUGGCUUAACUGGGAGAGGCUGUUCGAUACUGCGGGGCUUGAGGUUGGGAGAGGGACGCGGAAUUCCCGGUGUAGUGGUGGAAUGCGUAGAUAUCGGGAGGAACACCAGUGGCGCAAGCGGCGUCCUGGCCCACACCUGACGCUGAGGUGCGAAAGCGUGGGUAGCAAACAG
This 402-nucleotide ribosomal RNA is filed under the name uncultured bacterium. RNAcentral describes it as "bacterial SSU rRNA". It matches the Rfam family "Bacterial small subunit ribosomal RNA", at positions 357 to 775 of the family's 1533-position model. The record is from RNAcentral.